This 486-nucleotide ribosomal RNA is filed under the name uncultured bacterium. RNAcentral describes it as "bacterial SSU rRNA". It matches the Rfam family "Bacterial small subunit ribosomal RNA", at positions 26 to 507 of the family's 1533-position model. The record is from RNAcentral.
GGCUACGAGGACGAACGCUGGCGCGUGCUUAAUACACGCAAGUCAACUUGACUUUAGAUAGCAAUAUCGAAAGUAGGGUGGCGCACGGGUGCGUAACGCGUAGGUAAUCUGCCCUGAGGUCUGACAUAACCCGUCGAAAGCGGGCUAACAUCAGAUGAUAUAUAAUCACGACAUCGUGGAAAUAUCAAAUCUUCGGAGCCUUGGGAUGAGCCUGCGUCUGAUUAGGUAGUUGGCGGAGUAAUAGCCCACCAAGCCUACGAUCAGUAGCUGGUCUGAGAGGAUGAUCAGCCACACUGGAACUGAGACACGGUCCAGACUCCUACGGGAGGCAGCAGUAAGGAAUAUUGCUCAAUGGGGGGAAACCCUGAAGCAGCAACGCCGCGUGAAGGAUGAAAUACUUUGUAUGUAAACUUCUGUAAGACGGGAAAAAUAUUCUCCUCGGGAGAAUUGAUUGUACCAUCAGAGUAAGCCCCGGCUCACUACGUG